Molecule: transfer RNA, 75 nt
Filed under: Solirubrobacter taibaiensis
Lineage: Bacteria; Bacillati; Actinomycetota; Thermoleophilia; Solirubrobacterales; Solirubrobacteraceae
Description: tRNA-Arg
Rfam family: tRNA
About the family: Transfer RNA (tRNA) molecules are approximately 80 nucleotides in length. Their secondary structure includes four short double-helical elements and three loops (D, anti-codon, and T loops).
Source: RNAcentral
ACGCUCGUAGCUCAGAGGAACGAGAGCACCGCCCUGCGACGGCGGAGGCCGCUGGUUCGAAUCCAGCCGGGCGUA